AGAGGGAUAGCUGGGUCAAAUGGUGGUUCCAUUCCAGUUUUUCUGAGGAAUCUCCAUACUGCUUUCCAUGCUGGUUGCACCAAUUUACAGUCUCACCAGCAAU
Molecule: microRNA precursor, 103 nt
Filed under: Marmota monax (woodchuck)
Lineage: Eukaryota; Metazoa; Chordata; Mammalia; Rodentia; Sciuridae
Source: RNAcentral